Molecule: long non-coding RNA, 343 nt
Filed under: Citrus x clementina
Lineage: Eukaryota; Viridiplantae; Streptophyta; Magnoliopsida; Sapindales; Rutaceae
Description: Citrus clementina (C. clementina) long non-coding RNA (CCLE_LNC005680)
Source: RNAcentral
UAGUUUAAUUAGUCGAGUCCAAACAUUUAUUUUUAAAAGCACAAAUCAAUACAAAAUUAAAUUCAGUCAAUUCACUCCAAUCUAUCGAACCAAAAGGCCCUUACAACAUAUUUGUCAUGUAUGCGGUAUUUAUGGCAAGUAUCAUGUGGUGGAAAUAAAAUGACAAAAUAAAAACCACUUUGACAAAUAAUAGUGUGUAAUAAUGUCGCAUCUAGGGCUAGAUUAAUUAUGAUACUAGUUUUUAUACAUUCAUUGUCAUACAAAUUUUGUACCCUAAAUUAAUGUAAGCAAUCAAAUUUUAUUAGCAUUUGAGAAUGAAAAUCAUAACCUCAGUUAGCAAUAU